AGUGAACGCUGGCGGUAGGCCUAACACAUGCAAGUCGAACGGCCGCACAGUAAGAGCUUGCUCUUACGGGUGGCGAGUGGCGGACGGGUGAGGAAUACAUCGGCAUCUACUUUUUCGUGGGGGAUAACGUAGGGACACUUACGCUAAUACCGCAUACGACCUACGGGUGAAAGCAGGGGAUCUUCGGACCUUGCGCGAUUGAAUGAGCCGAUGUCGGAUUAGCUAGUUGGCGGGGUAAAGGCCCACCAAGGCGACGAUCCGUAGCCGGUCUGAGAGGAUGAUCAGCCACACUGGAACUGAGACACGGUCCAGACUCCUACGGGAGGCAGCAGUGGGGAAUAUUGGACAAUGGGCGCAAGCCUGAUCCAGCCAUACCGCGUGAGUGAAGAAGGCCUUCGGGUUGUAAAGCCCUUUUGUUGGGAAAGAAAAGCAGCAGGUUAAUACCCCGCUGUUCUGACGGUACCCAAAGAAUAAGCACCGGCUAACUUCGUG
This 492-nucleotide ribosomal RNA is filed under the name uncultured bacterium. RNAcentral describes it as "partial 16S ribosomal RNA". It matches the Rfam family "Bacterial small subunit ribosomal RNA", at positions 29 to 507 of the family's 1533-position model. The record is from RNAcentral.